RNAcentral lists this ribosomal RNA (253 nucleotides) under uncultured bacterium. RNAcentral's name for it is "partial 16S ribosomal RNA". It matches the Rfam family "Bacterial small subunit ribosomal RNA", at positions 524 to 776 of the family's 1533-position model. The record is from RNAcentral.
UACGGGGGGGGCAAGCGUUGUUCGGAAUUACUGGGCGUAAAGGGCUCGUAGGCGGCCAACUAAGUCAGACGUGAAAUCCCUAGGCUCGACCUAGGAACUGCGUCUGAUACUGGAUGGCUUGAAUCCGGGAGAGGGAUGCAGAAUUCCAGGUGUAGCGGUGAAAUGCGUAGAUAUCUGGAGGAAUACCGGUGGCGAAGGCGGCAUCCUGGACCGGCAUUGACGCUGAGGAGCGAAAGCCAGGGGAGCAAACGGG